CCUACGGGUGGCUGCAGUGGGGAAUAUUGGACAAUGGGGGGAACCCUGAUCCAGCCAUGCCGCGUGUGUGAAGAAGGCCCUCGGGUUGUAAAGCACUUUCAGUGAGGAAGAACGCCUGGUGGUUAAUACCCAUCAGGAAAGACAUCACUCACAGAAGAAGCACCGGCUAACUCCGUGCCAGCAGCCGCGGUAAUACGGAGGGUGCGAGCGUUAAUCGGAAUUACUGGGCGUAAAGCGCGCGUAGGUGGCUUGAUAAGCCGGUUGUGAAAGCCCCGGGCGCAACCUGGGAACGGCAUCCGGAACUGUCAAGCUAGAGUGCAGGAGAGGAAGGUAGAAUUCCCGGUGUAGCGGUGAAAUGCGUAGAGAUCGGGAGGAAUACCAGUGGCGAAGGCGGCCUUCUGGACUGACACUGACACUGAGGUGCGAAAGCGUGGGUAGCAAACAGGAUUAGAUACCCGGGUAGUC
Molecule: ribosomal RNA, 465 nt
Filed under: Vreelandella stevensii
Lineage: Bacteria; Pseudomonadati; Pseudomonadota; Gammaproteobacteria; Oceanospirillales; Halomonadaceae
Description: partial 16S ribosomal RNA
Rfam family: Bacterial small subunit ribosomal RNA
Source: RNAcentral